Molecule: ribosomal RNA, 460 nt
Filed under: uncultured bacterium
Lineage: Bacteria
Description: partial 16S ribosomal RNA
Rfam family: Bacterial small subunit ribosomal RNA
Source: RNAcentral
CCUACGGGCGGCAGCAGUGAGGAAUAUUGGUCAAUGGACGAGAGUCUGAACCAGCCAAGUCGCGUGAAGGAUGACUGCCCUAUGGGUUGUAAACUUCUUUUAUAUGGGAAUAAAAUGUUCCACGUGUGGGAUUUUGUAUGUACCAUAUGAAUAAGGCUCGGCUAACUCCGUGCCAGCAGCCGCGGUAAUACGGAGGAUCCGAGCGUUAUCCGGAUUUAUUGGGUUUAAAGGGAGCGUAGGUGGAUUGUUAAGUCAGUUGUGAAAGUUUGCGGCUCAACCGUGAAAUUGCAGUUGAAACUGGCAGUCUUGAGUACAGUAGAGGUGGGCGGAAUUCGUGGUGUAGCGGUGAAAUGCUUAGAUAUCACGAAGAACUCCGAUUGCGAAGGCAGUUCACUGGACUGCAACUGACACUGAGGCACGAAAGUGUGGGUAUCAAACAGGAUUAGAUACCCUGGUAGUC